This 277-nucleotide long non-coding RNA is filed under the name Setaria viridis. RNAcentral describes it as "long non-coding RNA (SVIR_LNC000292)". The record is from RNAcentral. Lineage: Eukaryota; Viridiplantae; Streptophyta; Magnoliopsida; Poales; Poaceae.
AACAGGUUCGACCCACUGGAGGAGCAUGUUUUCCUUUUUAUUUUACCAUCCUAUUUAUCAGUUUAAACUUACAUGUGGGAUCCUGGUUGGUUUAUGAUAUUUUUGUGGACCUAAUAUCAUCACAAAAUCACCAUUUAACAGCGAGUAACGAUUUCUUUUUGGCUACAGUGACAUAUUUUAUGAUGUUCCAUAACUUUGUCAGUAAAUUUGCUCGAAUGUCAAACUUUAUGACGUUUUCAUUCAGAAAUGUCAUAGAUCUAUGAUGAGAACAAAUGUG